Molecule: ribosomal RNA, 548 nt
Filed under: Meyerozyma guilliermondii
Lineage: Eukaryota; Fungi; Ascomycota; Pichiomycetes; Serinales; Debaryomycetaceae
Description: eukaryotic LSU rRNA
Rfam family: Eukaryotic large subunit ribosomal RNA
Source: RNAcentral
UAGCGGCGAGUGAAGCGGCAAAAGCUCAAAUUUGAAAUCUGGCGCCUUCGGUGUCCGAGUUGUAAUUUGAAGAUUGUAACCUUGGGGUUGGCUCUUGUCUAUGUUUCUUGGAACAGGACGUCACAGAGGGUGAGAAUCCCGUGCGAUGAGAUGCCCAAUUCUAUGUAAGGUGCUUUCGAAGAGUCGAGUUGUUUGGGAAUGCAGCUCUAAGUGGGUGGUAAAUUCCAUCUAAAGCUAAAUAUUGGCGAGAGACCGAUAGCGAACAAGUACAGUGAUGGAAAGAUGAAAAGAACUUUGAAAAGAGAGUGAAAAAGUACGUGAAAUUGUUGAAAGGGAAGGGUUUGAGAUCAGACUCGAUAUUUUGUGAGCCUUGCCUUCGUGGCGGGGUGACCCGCAGCUUAUCGGGCCAGCAUCGGUUUGGGCGGUAGGAUAAUGGCGUAGGAAUGUGACUUUACUUCGGUGAAGUGUUAUAGCCUGCGUUGAUGCUGCCUGCCUAGACCGAGGACUGCGAUUUUAUCAAGGAUGCUGGCAUAAUGAUCCCAAACCGC